ACGGAAGGCAGCAGUGGGGAAUAUUGGACAAUGGGGGAAACCCUGAUCCAGCGACGCCGCGUGAGUGAAGAAGUAUUUCGGUAUGUAAAGCUCUAUCAGCAAGGAAGAAAAUGACGGUACUUGACUAAGAAGCUCCGGCUAAAUACGUGCCAGCAGCCGCGGUAAUACGUAUGGAGCAAGCGUUAUCCGGAUUUACUGGGUGUAAAGGGAGCGUAGACGGCAAAGCAAGUCCGAAGUGAAAUCCCGGGGCUCAACCCCGGAACUGCUUUGGAAACUGUUUAGCUAGAGUGCAUGAGAGGUAAGCGGAAUUCCUAGUGUAGCGGUGAAAUGCGUAGAUAUUAGGAGGAACACCAGUGGCGAAGGCGGCUUACUGGACUGUAACUGACGUUGAGGCUCGAAAGCGUGGGGAGCAAACAGGAUUAGAUACCCUGGUA
Molecule: ribosomal RNA, 434 nt
Filed under: uncultured Lachnospiraceae bacterium
Lineage: Bacteria; Bacillati; Bacillota; Clostridia; Lachnospirales; Lachnospiraceae
Description: partial 16S ribosomal RNA
Rfam family: Bacterial small subunit ribosomal RNA
Source: RNAcentral